AAAGCAUAAUCAAUAAAAUGCAGACAUUUAUUUAAAACAAUUAAAUAUGUACUAAUCAGGAAAUUAGUAGUAGAGGAUGUAUACUUUAUUAUGGUGAUGACGUAAUGACUGACAAACGCUAAAUUCGUCAAGAUGGCUAUGCAAGCAGGUCGUCGUCAAAAUGUUCGUCUGCCACCAGAGGUAAACAGAAUAUUGUAUGUGAGAAACUUACCAUAUAAGAUUACGGCUGAAGAAAUGUAUGAUAUAUUUGGAAAAUAUGGUGCAAUUCGUCAAAUCAGAGUGUAAGUUAUAAUUAUAUUCCUUCACUU
Anneissia japonica is the source of this 308-nucleotide long non-coding RNA. RefSeq lists it as uncharacterized. The transcript has 3 exons. NCBI's taxonomy places the organism in Eukaryota, Metazoa, Echinodermata, Crinoidea, Comatulida, Comatulidae. The record is from RefSeq and is a predicted model, not a curated record.